Molecule: ribosomal RNA, 301 nt
Filed under: uncultured bacterium
Lineage: Bacteria
Description: partial 16S ribosomal RNA
Rfam family: Bacterial small subunit ribosomal RNA
Source: RNAcentral
CAGUCGCCACGGUAAUACGAAGGGGGCUAGCGUUGCUCGGAAUUACUGGGCGUAAAGGGCGCGUAGGCGGAUAGUUUAGUCAGAGGUGAAAGCCCAGGGCUCAACCUUGGAACUGCCUUUGAUACUGGUUAUCUUGAGUAUGGGAGAGGUGUGUGGAACUCCGAGUGUAGAGGUGAAAUUCGUAGAUAUUCGGAAGAACACCAGCGGCGAAGGCGACACACUGGCCCAUUACUGACGCUGAGGCGCGAAAGCGUAGGGAGCAAACAGGAUUAGAGACCCCGGUAGUCCCUGUCUCUUAUAU